AAUUCCAGCAUUGCUUAGUACGGCGAGUGAAGCGGCAAAAGCUCAAAUUUGAAAUCUGGCACCUUCGGUGUCCGAGUUGUAAUUUGAAGAAGGUAACUUUGGAGUUGGCUCUUGUCUAUGUUCCUUGGAACAGGACGUCACAGAGGGUGAGAAUCCCGUGCGAUGAGAUGCCCAAUUCUAUGUAAAGUGCUUUCGAAGAGUCGAGUUGUUUGGGAAUGCAGCUCUAAGUGGGUGGUAAAUUCCAUCUAAAGCUAAAUAUUGGCGAGAGACCGAUAGCGAACAAGUACAGUGAUGGAAAGAUGAAAAGAACUUUGAAAAGAGAGUGAAAAAGUACGUGAAAUUGUUGAAAGGGAAGGGCUUGAGAUCAGACUUGGUAUUUUGCGAUCCUUUCCUUCUUGGUUGGGUUCCUCGCAGCUUACUGGGCCAGCAUCGGUUUGGAUGGUAGGAUAAUGACUAAGGAAUGUGGCUCUACUUCGGUGGAGUGUUAUAGCCUUGGUUGAUACUGCCUGUCUAGACCGAGGACUGCGUCUUUUGACUAGGAUGUUGGCAUAAUGAUCUUAAGCCACCCGUCUUGAAA
This 577-nucleotide ribosomal RNA is filed under the name Debaryomyces hansenii. RNAcentral's name for it is "LSU rRNA". It matches the Rfam family "Eukaryotic large subunit ribosomal RNA", at positions 63 to 659 of the family's 3401-position model. Lineage: Eukaryota; Fungi; Ascomycota; Pichiomycetes; Serinales; Debaryomycetaceae. The record is from RNAcentral.